Molecule: long non-coding RNA, 1707 nt
Organism: Hordeum vulgare subsp. vulgare (domesticated barley)
Lineage: Eukaryota; Viridiplantae; Streptophyta; Magnoliopsida; Poales; Poaceae
Exons: 4
Source: RefSeq, a predicted model, not a curated record
GGAUAGCUAGAAAAAUGGAAGUAUCAGUUCCCAGCUAUGUAUCGUUUGCUUGAUAUAACUUGGAUGAGAGAAAUAUGAAACAUACAAAUUAUUAGAUGCAUUUUGAAUGAGAGAAGGUGAUACAUACAUUUUAUUCGUUGCGUCUUGGAUGACAGAAGUUGAUGUUGUUCGGAAGCUUUCCUUUAUUUUUUUGCUCUAUUUUCACUUUGUGCUCAUGUAUUAUGUUGAGUGGUCGGGUGAACUAUGAAGCUCUUGUUGUUGGCCAACCAGAUUGCUGCAUUCAGUUUAAAUUGUGUACCUUAUUUGGUGACUGAUAGAUUAGCAUUUAUUAGUUUAAAUGGCGACUAAUAAAAAAUGGAGCUUCCAAAAUCAUUGUGCUAGUGUUUGUAGCAAUCUAUUCUAGGAAACUGACUCGGAUUUCCAUUUUAGGGACACAAAGGUACAAAUUGCAUCAUCUGUUGUUACGGCACCGUUGCUCCCUAACCCGUGCCAUGAAAUUAUUCACGUGUCAACUCACUAGGAAGGGGUUAGUCAGAUGAUUCAGUGCAAUCAUUCAAGCAUGUUUCAUACGCCAUCGCAUUUGGUUAUUAACUGAUUCGGUUAAAGUUUUCAUUUUUCAUUGCAUUUUUAUGCUUGGAGCCCUUUUAUUUUGUGAUGGAUGCAUUUGAGUUAACCUGAUUAUUGUCGCAAGUUGUAUCAUAUGUUCCAGGAGAUGGUCCAAUGGUUCUGUUAGUUCUGUUUCAUUUUUUUGUUUAAAUGUAGCAGUGUACUUUGUGAGUUAUGUUCCAUGUUCCUGUUUACACGUACAUUCAUUAAUUUUCCCAUUUGAAUCCCCUUAAUAAGUAAGGUGAACUCACAAGCUUGGAUCAUGAGCCAUAGGAACUCGAGAAAGGAACCAUUCAUUCCUUUUGCAAGACACUGAGAACUUCGGAUACGAGUACCCAUGGUGGUUUCUUUGUUCUUAGGAGACAUGCUGAAGAGUGCCUACCUCCACCAGCAUGUCUAAGAAUCCACCAUGUCAUGAAUUGGUAGCCAAAGAUCUCCAUGGAACUGGUUGGCAUUUUCAUCACAUAUUUCGUGGUAAUUUACAAUCUAGCAUUCAACUGAAUACCAUUUACACUUUGUGUUGUUUUGGUGUAGCACUUCAUGUCAAAAUUCAAUGUUGAAUUCUUACAACUGCAGAAACUUGCAGCAUAUACUGAUUCAUUACUUCAUGAGUAUGUGUGAGUUCUCUCCCUCUCUGGUUCUAUCUCACGCCUUCCGGUGUUUUGUGUUUCAGAUGCCUAAUCUCUUAGUAUUUGAGUGUCAUUUAUUUAACUUUUUUAAAAUUUGUAGUGCAACUUCUUACAUGUCAGUCCAUGUGUUAUGCAAGAUAGUAAGAAAGCAAGUGGAAUGGGCGCUUGCCAAUCUGGCACCCCCUCAGCUUCCUCUCAAGAGGCGCCACAGGCGGUGCCCCAACCCCUAGCCUCGUGGAAUGCUCGAAGUGGACAGCAAACUGGGCCGGCGCAGCCUUUUCCGCAAUCCAGGGCAGGGGCAGAUUCAGCACAGGUCAUGUUAGGAAUAAGCCACAAUGACCAUGUCAACUAGUGUGUGUGCGCGAGACAUGAUGCCGUUUCUUUUAUCGAUACAGAAAAAUGAGCUAUUAGUAGAAACUAUCUGAAACUACCGUGAACCAUUAAGGACAGUAAAACUGAACCUAAACCGAGC